GAUGAACGCUGGCGGCGUGCCUAAUACAUGCAAGUCGAGCGAAUGGAUUAAGAGCUUGCUCUUAUGAAGUUAGCGGCGGACGGGUGAGUAACACGUGGGUAACCUGCCCAUAAGACUGAGAUAACUCCGGGAAACCGGGGCUAAUACCGGAUAACAUUUUGAACCGCAUGGUUCGAAAUUGAAAGGCGGCUUCGGCUGUCACUUAUGGAUGGACUCGCGUCGCAUUAGCUAGUUGGUGAGGUAACGGCUCACCAAGGCAACGAUGCGUAGCCGACCUGAGAGGGUGAUCGGCCACACUGGGAUUGAGACACGGCCCAGACUCCUACGGGAGGCAGCAGUAGGGAAUCUUCCGCAAUGGACGAAAGUCUGACGGAGCAACGCCGCGUGAGUGAUGAAGGCUUUCGGGUCGUAAAACUCUGUUGUUAGGGAAGAACAAGUGCUAGUUGAAUAAGCUGGCACCUUGACGGUACCUAACCAGAAAGCCACGGCUAACUACGUGCCAGCCGCCGCGGUAA
Molecule: ribosomal RNA, 515 nt
Filed under: uncultured bacterium
Lineage: Bacteria
Description: partial 16S ribosomal RNA
Rfam family: Bacterial small subunit ribosomal RNA
Source: RNAcentral